GACGAACGCUGGCGGCGUGCUUAACACAUUCAAGUCGAACGGAAAGGCCCUUCUUUUGUUGGGUGCUCGAGUGGCGAAAGGGUGAGUAACACGUUAGUAACCUUCCCUUUACUUUGGGGUUACUUCAGGAAACUGGGGCUAAUACCGGAUAGGAGCUCCUGCUUCAUGGUGGGGGUUUGAAAGUUUCGGCGGUUGGGGAUGGACUCGCGGCUUAUCAGCUUGUUGGUGGGGUAGUGGCUUACCAAGGCUUUGACGGGUAGCCGGCCUGAGAGGGUGACCGGCCACAUUGGGACUGAGAUACGGCCCAGACUCCUACGGGAGGCAGCAGUGGGGAAUAUUGCACAAUGGGCGGAAGCCUGAUGCAGCAACGCCGCGUGCGGGAUGACGGCCUUCGGGUUGUAAACCGCUUUCGCCUGUGACGAAGCGUGAGUGACGGUAAUGGGUAAAGAAGCACCGGCUAACUACGUG
This 468-nucleotide ribosomal RNA is filed under the name uncultured bacterium. RNAcentral describes it as "partial 16S ribosomal RNA". It matches the Rfam family "Bacterial small subunit ribosomal RNA", at positions 28 to 507 of the family's 1533-position model. The record is from RNAcentral.